CCACCACCAUCCCACUCAACCAUGAAAGUGAAGUUUCAGCUACAACCCGACGACUUCAACAGGUGCAUGAAAUCUACAAGGACCUCACCCGAGAUGACAUGAUGGAACGAUGCAUACAGGGACGAACACAAAACCCAAAUGAAAGCCUUCACCAAAGAAUAUGGGCGUACUGCAACAAAGCCCUGUAUAGAAAUAAGUGGCAAGUUGAUUUCUCCGUCAGCCACGCGAUAGCAGAGUACAAUGUAGGAUACGAAAGAAGUUGUCUGGACAUACAACUUGGAUAUGGGCGUUCCUCAUUGAACCAAAAACGUCUGAAGGAUAUGGACAGAUAUAUGCAGAGACUCCAAACUCCAAGAAGCAAGAAGAGGAAGACGGUGGUGGACACCUCCUAUGAAGCUGGAGGCCAUUAGAUGAUCCAUGUCCAUGCCUACUCUUCGUCAAAGUUUGAUGUGUAUGGACCGUCAUGAUUGGCCAAUCUGAAAGGACUUCAGGAUGGAGGGAUCUGCAUGGAACUUCAGAAAUAUGUUAUAUAUGCUCACUUCUACUCCUAAUAAACAUAAGAAGGCA
This is a non-coding RNA of Cherax quadricarinatus, 567 nucleotides long. The record is from RefSeq and is a predicted model, not a curated record. NCBI's taxonomy places the organism in Eukaryota, Metazoa, Arthropoda, Malacostraca, Decapoda, Parastacidae.